GGAGUUUGGACCGUGUCUCAGUUCCAAUGUGGGGGACCUUCCUCUCAGAACCCCUACUGAUCGUUGGCCAGGUGGGCCGUUACCCCGCCUGCAACCUAAUCAGACGCAUCCCCAUCCCUUAGCGGUAAACCUUUGCUUCAUGUCUGAUGUCAUCUACGAAGAACAUAGGGUAUUAAUCCGCAUUUCUACGGGCUAUGCCCUACUAAGGGGAAGGUUGGAUACGCGUUACUCACCCGUGCGCCGGUCGCCAUCAAUCAAAGCAAGCUUUGAUCAUGCUGCCCCUCGACUUGCAUGUGUUAAGCCUGUAGCUAGCGUUCAUC
This 320-nucleotide ribosomal RNA is filed under the name uncultured Prevotella sp. RNAcentral describes it as "partial 16S ribosomal RNA". Lineage: Bacteria; Pseudomonadati; Bacteroidota; Bacteroidia; Bacteroidales; Prevotellaceae. The record is from RNAcentral.